GAUGAAGAACGUAGCGAAAUGCGAUAAGUAAUGUGAAUUGCAGAAUUCAGUGAAUCAUCGAAUCUUUGAACGCACAUUGCGCCCGCCAGUAUUCUGGCGGGCAUGCCUGCUCGAGCGUCAUUACAACCCUCAGGCCCCCGGGCCUGGCGUUGGGGAUCGGCGGAAGCCCCCUGCGGGCACAACGCCGUCCCCCAAAUACAGUGGCGGUCCCGCCGCAGCUUCCAUUGCGUAGUAGCUAACACCUCGCAACUGGAGAGCGGCGCGGCCACGCCGUAAAACACCCAACUUCUGAAUGUUGACCUCGAAUCAGGUAGGAAUACCCGCUGAACUUAAGCAUAUCAAUAAGCGGAGGA
This 353-nucleotide unclassified non-coding RNA is filed under the name soil metagenome. Its description in RNAcentral is "partial contains 5.8S ribosomal RNA, internal transcribed spacer 2, and large subunit ribosomal RNA". The stretch from base 1 to 120 matches the Rfam family "5.8S ribosomal RNA", at positions 35 to 154 of the family's 154-position model. The record is from RNAcentral.